Molecule: ribosomal RNA, 492 nt
Filed under: uncultured bacterium
Lineage: Bacteria
Description: bacterial SSU rRNA
Rfam family: Bacterial small subunit ribosomal RNA
Source: RNAcentral
UCGAACGGCAGCACAGCCGGGGCAACCCGGUGGGUGGCGAGUGGCGGACGGGUGAGGAAUACAUGGGAAUCUGCCCUGUCGUGGGGGAUAACGUAGGGAAACUUACGCUAAUACCGCAUACGACCGGAAGGUGAAAGCGGCGGACCGCAAGGCGUCGCGCGACUGGAUGAGCCCAUGUCGGAUUAGCUAGUUGGCGGGGUAAAGGCCCACCAAGGCGACGAUCCGUAGCUGGUCUGAGAGGAUGAUCAGCCACACUGGAACUGAGACACGGUCCAGACUCCUACGGGAGGCAGCAGUGGGGAAUAUUGGACAAUGGGCGCAAGCCUGAUCCAGCCAUGCCGCGUGAGUGAAGAAGGCCUUCGGGUUGUAAAGCUCUUUUGUCCGGAAAGAAAAGCCUUCGGUUAAUACCCGGGGGUGAUGACGGUACCGGAAGAAUAAGCACCGGCUAACUUCGUGCCAGCAGCCGCGGUAAUACGAAGGGUGCAAGCGUUA